CAAAGUUCAUGGUGGCAGGUAGAGAUAGAGGAAAAGCUAGUGGUGUUAAUGCUGAGGUAGUGGUCAACACAAGUGUCAAACUAUGGUUGUUGUGAUUUCGUACACAGAAAAAACAAACAUUAUUCUAUCAAUUAUUUUGUCCUUUUGUAUUAAAAAGUGCUCAAUUUUAUUAAAAAUGAAAGUAAAAUUUUUAUGCUCGAAAACGAUAUAUUUAUUUAAAAAGUGACUUUUCACGAUUUAGUGUGUUCAUUUAAAAGUUGUUCUUUUCAAUACAAAAAUUGUACAACUGUCAAACCACUCAAAAAAAAAUAUUUGUUUUGCAAGUGACAGUAACUGUUCGGAAUUUCUGUUGUUGACUGCUCGGUUGUCUGUUGUUUGAUGCAAUCCGAUCAAAGAAGUGUGCCAUCAGCCAGGAUCAGUUGCAGCAAUUUGUUUGUUCUUUUCCGUGGCCAUCCGAGCUAGACUUUUUGUUACCUUUAUCUACAACGUGCUCGCUACCAUCGCAAUUAAGCCGACAGCAGAGGUAGCAGAUUCUUUACCCGAUCGACCAUUAUGAAUUAUUGGCAGUGGCUGAUUUUCUACCCGCCGCUACCACAUCCAGGCGCUAUCGUAUAUGCGCAAAUAGCCAGCAUGAGUUAGCCGCCAGAAAUUUGUAUGGCGAAAGACAUCUAACGCGGGUUUUCUCAAAAUUAGGAACUUUUCAUGAAAAGCUAUUUGGUAUCGGUUAUGAGGGAUGGUGUCUGCUACUACGCCUACCAAAUAUUUUUUCGAUUAAAGUGCUUUAUUUUGAGAAAUCGAACCUUAGAUGCCUUUCGCCAUACUGAUUUCAUAAAGUUAACUCCUAGUGUGCCGCUGUAAGCACGCUCAAAGCAGGCGAUUCAUUGGAUUGGAUAUGGCUUCCCGAGUGACUUUCCAAGUUGGCGUGCCUUGUGAUAAAAGGAUAUGGACUUUCACGCAUUCCUGUUACAUACAAUUUUCCAUCAAAAUUGAGGACGCAUCAGAAUUUCGCAUCGAUAAAGCAUGAAUAAUCUUCCACCUUCGCCAGCUGCUCGGCCAGCUGUGCAAAUUGGCGCAACUGUUAAAUAUGGCUUCAACUAAAUAAUGUUAUUUAUUAAUUAUUGAUAAAUUGUUAUUAAAUAUUUCCUGAAAACGAA
Armigeres subalbatus is the source of this 1154-nucleotide long non-coding RNA. RefSeq lists it as uncharacterized. The transcript has 2 exons. NCBI's taxonomy places the organism in Eukaryota, Metazoa, Arthropoda, Insecta, Diptera, Culicidae. The record is from RefSeq and is a predicted model, not a curated record.